UGGGGAAUUUUGGACAAUGGGCGAAAGCCUGAUCCAGCAAUGCCGCGUGAGUGAAGAAGGCCUUCGGGUUGUAAAGCNCUUUUGUCAGGGAAGAAACGGUGAAAGCUAAUAUCUUUUGCUAACGACGGUACCUGAAGAAUAAGCACCGGCUAACUACGUGCCAGCAGCCGCGGUAAUACGUAGGGUGCAAGCGUUAAUCGGAAUUACUGGGCGUAAAGCGUGCGCAGGCGGUUUUGUAAGUCUGAUGUGAAAAUCCCCGGGCUCAACCUGGGAAUUGCAUUGGAGACUGCAAGGCUAGAAAUCUGGCAGAGGGGGGUAGAAUUCCACGUGUAGCAGUGAAAUGCGUAGAUAUGUGGAGGAACACCGAUGGCGAAGGCAGCCCCCUGGUCAAGAUUGACGCUCAUGCACGAAAGCGUGGGGAGCAAACAGGAUUAGAUACCCUGGUAGUCCACGCCCUAAACGAUGUCUACUAGUUGUCGGGUCUUAAUUGACUUGGUAACGCAGCUAACGCGUGAAGUAGACCGCCUGGGGGA
Molecule: ribosomal RNA, 533 nt
Filed under: uncultured bacterium
Lineage: Bacteria
Description: partial 16S ribosomal RNA
Rfam family: Bacterial small subunit ribosomal RNA
Source: RNAcentral